RNAcentral lists this ribosomal RNA (254 nucleotides) under uncultured bacterium. Its description in RNAcentral is "partial 16S ribosomal RNA". It matches the Rfam family "Bacterial small subunit ribosomal RNA", at positions 524 to 776 of the family's 1533-position model. The record is from RNAcentral.
UACAGAGGUCCCGAGCGUUGUUCGGAUUCAUUGGGCGUAAAGGGUGCGUAGGCGGCGGGGUAAGUCUGAUGUGAAAUCCUGGGGCUCAACCCUGGAACUGCAUUGGAUACUGCCUUGCUAGAGAACUGGAGAGGAGACUGGAAUUUACGGGUGUAGCAGUGAAAUGCGUAGAGAUCGUAAGGAAGACCAGUGGCGAAGGCGAGUCUCUGGACAGUUACUGACGCUGAGGCACGAAGGCCAGGGGAGCAAACGGG